AACAGAGGGGGCAAGCGUUGUUCGGAAUUACUGGGCGUAAAGGGCGCGUAGGCGGCCUGUUAAGUCGAACGUGAAAUCCCCGGGCUCAACCCGGGAACUGCGUCCGAUACUGGCAGGCUUGAAUCCGGGAGAGGGAUGCGGAAUUCCAGGUGUAGCGGUGAAAUGCGUAGAUAUCUGGAGGAACACCGGUGGCGAAGGCGGCAUCCUGGACCGGCAUUGACGCUGAGGCGCGAAAGCCAGGGGAGCAAACGGG
RNAcentral lists this ribosomal RNA (253 nucleotides) under uncultured bacterium. RNAcentral describes it as "partial 16S ribosomal RNA". It matches the Rfam family "Bacterial small subunit ribosomal RNA", at positions 524 to 776 of the family's 1533-position model. The record is from RNAcentral.